Molecule: ribosomal RNA, 484 nt
Filed under: uncultured bacterium
Lineage: Bacteria
Description: partial 16S ribosomal RNA
Rfam family: Bacterial small subunit ribosomal RNA
Source: RNAcentral
GACGAACGCUGGCGGCGUGCUUAACACAUGCAAGUCGAACGAUGAAGCCGGAGCUUGCUCUGGUGGAUUAGUGGCGAACGGGUGAGUAACACGUGAGUAACCUGCCCUUGACUCUGGGAUAAGCGUUGGAAACGACGUCUAAUACCGGAUACGAGCUAGGACCGCAUGGUCACUAGCUGGAAAGAAUUUCGGUCAAGGAUGGACUCGCGGCCUAUCAGUUAGUUGGUGAGGUAACGGCUCACCAAGACGACGACGGGUAGCCGGCCUGAGAGGGUGACCGGCCACACUGGGACUGAGACACGGCCCAGACUCCUACGGGAGGCAGCAGUGGGGAAUAUUGCACAAUGGGCGCAAGCCUGAUGCAGCAACGCCGCGUGAGGGACGACGGCCUUCGGGUUGUAAACCUCUUUUAGCAGGGAAGAAGCGCAAGUGACGGUACCUGCAGAAAAAGCACCGGCUAACUACGUGCCAGCAGCCGCCGUAA